Molecule: transfer RNA, 76 nt
Filed under: Candidatus Bathyarchaeota archaeon
Lineage: Archaea; Thermoproteati; Candidatus Bathyarchaeota
Description: tRNA-Leu
Rfam family: tRNA
About the family: Transfer RNA (tRNA) molecules are approximately 80 nucleotides in length. Their secondary structure includes four short double-helical elements and three loops (D, anti-codon, and T loops). Further hydrogen bonds mediate the characteristic L-shaped molecular structure. tRNAs have two regions of fundamental functional importance: the anti-codon, which is responsible for specific mRNA codon recognition, and the 3' end, to which the tRNAs corresponding amino acid is attached (by aminoacyl-tRNA synthetases). tRNAs cope with the degeneracy of the genetic code in two manners: having more than one tRNA (with a specific anti-codon) for a particular amino acid; and 'wobble' base-pairing, i.e. permitting non-standard base-pairing at the 3rd anti-codon position.
Source: RNAcentral
GGGCGGGUAGUCUAGCGGUUAUGACGCCACACAUAAAACGUGGAGGUCCCAGGUUCAAAUCCUGGCCCGCCCACCA